AUCGUGAACUGAGGCCUCAGUGUAAUAGCCCAUGAGGAACUGAAUUAUUUCAACAGCCAGGGUUGCUCUGAAGACUAAAGCCCUGGGAUCAUUCAUUUUAAAAGAAAAGAAUGGUGACUCAUUAUUUCAAGCUUUUCAUUCUGGAAGAUGGAAGUAUAAGAUCAGAUAGCCAGCAUCAUCAGAUUUGAUAUCAAAGUAAUGUCAAGUGCUUCUGACCCACUGCAUUAAAUGUGUGCUGAGCAGUUGGUGGUAGAAGAUAUUAUUGUGAAGGCUGCUCACUACCAAUUUCAUCACUGUUGCUAACUCCAGCUCAUCUAAUCUCUGCAACAUCUGCUACCAGCACCUUCUCUUCCCUCCUUUUGUGAACAUAGUUUUUUCUUCCGGUUAGAAAAUCAGUUCGAACUUCUUGAGUAUGCUUUGUGUUUUAAACUCUUCUCAACUGUUCCCAUGAUUGAUGGAUGCCCAGAGGCGACCUCUUUAUCUCCAGCAACAUAUUUGGCUGUUGGCCCGGUAGAGAGGUACUCCAGAAGCUUGCUGGUUCAUCAUGCUCUCAUCUUUAACCAGAACUAUUUAUCUGACUCCUUCCAUCUCCACAGCACUGUGUGAGGGAUCAGUGAUAAGAGACAGUGAAAGAGAUGCGCAAAUGGAUAAAUAAUAAGCA
This 661-nucleotide non-coding RNA is filed under the name Pongo abelii (Sumatran orangutan). Lineage: Eukaryota; Metazoa; Chordata; Mammalia; Primates; Hominidae. The record is from RNAcentral.